Molecule: transfer RNA, 76 nt
Filed under: Defluviicoccus sp.
Lineage: Bacteria; Pseudomonadati; Pseudomonadota; Alphaproteobacteria; Rhodospirillales; Rhodospirillaceae
Description: tRNA-Thr
Rfam family: tRNA
About the family: Transfer RNA (tRNA) molecules are approximately 80 nucleotides in length. Their secondary structure includes four short double-helical elements and three loops (D, anti-codon, and T loops). Further hydrogen bonds mediate the characteristic L-shaped molecular structure. tRNAs have two regions of fundamental functional importance: the anti-codon, which is responsible for specific mRNA codon recognition, and the 3' end, to which the tRNAs corresponding amino acid is attached (by aminoacyl-tRNA synthetases). tRNAs cope with the degeneracy of the genetic code in two manners: having more than one tRNA (with a specific anti-codon) for a particular amino acid; and 'wobble' base-pairing, i.e. permitting non-standard base-pairing at the 3rd anti-codon position.
Source: RNAcentral
GCCGGAUUAGCUCAGCUGGCAGAGCGGCUGAUUUGUAAUCAGCAGGUCGGGGGUUCGAAUCCCUCAUCCGGCACCA